ACGCUCGACACCUACGGGAAGCAGCAGUGGGGAAUAUUGCACAAUGGAGGAAACUCUGAUGCAGCGAUGCCGCGUGAGGGAAGAAGGUUUUCGGAUUGUAAACCUCUGUCUUUGGGGACGAUAAUGACGGUACCCAAGAAGGAAGCUCCGGCUAACUACGUGCCAGCACGCCGGUAGUACUNGNGGCGGNGNGAGACG
Molecule: ribosomal RNA, 198 nt
Filed under: uncultured bacterium
Lineage: Bacteria
Description: partial 16S ribosomal RNA
Rfam family: Bacterial small subunit ribosomal RNA
Source: RNAcentral